AAUAAGUUUUAUUCUUGCUUAUUAUGGUAGUUCACAUAAAUUUUGUUUUACAUGUAAAUUUUAGUGUAUAGUUUAUUUGAUUCUAUAAGAAGAAAGAUAAAGUUGGUAGUAUAAAAUAGGCAGUAUUUGAUUUUAUGAAUCGGGGUGACUCGGAUUUAGGAUUAAUUGUUAGUGUCGGUUAAAGUCGUGCCAGCCACCGCGGUUAUACGAAAGAUACAAGUGAACGUUAUUAGUAAAUAGUGAAAUUGUUUAAAUAUGAUUAUAGGGAUUAAAUAUAAUAUUAAUUAAGUGAAAUUUUUAAUUUGUGGAAAUUUCUUAAGUUAUGUUUUGAUAUUGAAGCUAUGAAAUUUAAAAUUUAAACUAGGAUUAGAUACCCUAUUAUUUUAAGUGUAAGUUAUUUUGUUGUUUAAAUACUUGAGUAUUAAUAGGUAUGGUCUUGAAACUCAAAGAAUUUGGCGGUAUUUUAGUCUUUUCAGAGGAACUUGCCCCGUAAUCGAUAAUCCUCGUUUUAUCUUACUUAAUUUUGUAAUCAGUAUGUAUACCGCCGUCGUCAGAAUAUCUUUUUAGAGUAAAAAUUUUCUUGAUUUUAAAUUAAAAAAGAUGUCAGGUCAAGGUGCAGUUUAUGGUUAAGAGGAGGUGAGUUACAAUAAAAAUUAUUUAUAACGGAAAGUGAUUUAAAAUUAGUUAUUGGAAGGUGGAUUUGAUAGUAAGUUGAAAUAGUAAAUUAAAUUGAUUUUAGCUCUAAAAUGUGCACACAUCGCCCGUCGCUCUCGUUAUUUAAGGUGAGAUAAGUCGUAACAUAGUAGGCGUACCGGAAGGUGCUUCUAGAAAUUU
This 834-nucleotide non-coding RNA is filed under the name Flavoperla sp. YW-2019. RNAcentral's name for it is "12S ribosomal RNA". The stretch from base 417 to 827 matches the Rfam family "Microsporidia small subunit ribosomal RNA", at positions 752 to 1303 of the family's 1311-position model. The record is from RNAcentral. Lineage: Eukaryota; Metazoa; Arthropoda; Insecta; Plecoptera; Perlidae.